UACAGAGGGGGCAAGCGUUAUUCGGAAUUAUUGGGCGUAAAGGGCGCGUAGGCGGCUUGGCAAGUGGAAGGUGAAAUCCCUCGGCUUAACCGAGGAACUGCCCUCCAAACUGCUUUGCUUGAGGCCGGGAGAGGUAAGUGGAAUUCCCAGUGUAGCGGUGAAAUGCGUAGAUAUUGGGAGGAACACCAGUGGCGAAGGCGGCAUCCUGGACCGGUAUUGACGCUGAGGCGCGAAAGCCAGGGGAGCAAACGGG
RNAcentral lists this ribosomal RNA (253 nucleotides) under uncultured bacterium. Its description in RNAcentral is "partial 16S ribosomal RNA". It matches the Rfam family "Bacterial small subunit ribosomal RNA", at positions 524 to 776 of the family's 1533-position model. The record is from RNAcentral.